AACGAACGCUGGCGGCAUGCCUAACACAUGCAAGUCGAACGAGACCUUCGGGUCUAGUGGCGCACGGGUGCGUAACGCGUGGGAACCUGCCCUUAGGUUCGGAAUAACUCCCCGAAAGGGGUGCUAAUACCGGAUAAUGUCUUCGGACCAAAGAUUUAUCGCCUUUGGAUGGGCCCGCGUUGGAUUAGCUAGUUGGUAGGGUAAAAGCCUACAAAGGCGACGAUCCAUAGCUGGUCUGAGAGGAUGAUCAGCCACACUGGGACUGAGACACGGCCCAGACUCCUACGGGAGGCAGCAGUGGGGAAUAUGGGACAAUGGGCGAAAGCCGGAGCCAGCAAUGCCGCGUGAGUGAUGAAGGCCUUAGGGUUGUAAAGCUCUUUUACCCGGGAUGAUAAUGACAGUACCGGGAGAAUAAGCACCGGCGAACUCCGU
RNAcentral lists this ribosomal RNA (432 nucleotides) under uncultured bacterium. Its description in RNAcentral is "partial 16S ribosomal RNA". It matches the Rfam family "Bacterial small subunit ribosomal RNA", at positions 29 to 506 of the family's 1533-position model. The record is from RNAcentral.